AGCAGCCGCGGUAAUUCCAGCUCCAAUAGCGUAUAUUAAAGUUGUUGCAGUUAAAAAGCUCGUAGUUGAAUUUCGGGGUUAGCAGGUCGGUCGUGCCAUUGGUAUGAACUGGUCUCGCUGAUCCCUCCCUCUUGACGAACUGUGAUGCCAUUAAUUUGGUGUCGCAGGGAAUCAGGACUGUUACUUUGAAAAAAUUAGAGUGUUUAAAGCAGGCUCACGCUUGAAUACAUUAGCAUGGAAUAAUGAAAUAGGACGUUUGAUCCUAUUUUGUUGGCUUCUAGGAUUGACGUAAUGAUUAAUAGGGAUAGUUGGGGGCAUUAGUAUUCAAUUGUCAGAGGUGAAAUUCUUGGAUUUAUUGAAGACUAACUACUGCGAAAGCAUUUGCCAAGGAUGUUUUCAUUAAUCAAGAACGAAAGUUAGGGGAUCGAAGACGAUCAGAUACCGUCGUAGUCUUAACCAUAAACUAUGCCGACUAGGGAUCGGAUGAUGUUAAUUUUUAAUGACU
This 505-nucleotide ribosomal RNA is filed under the name uncultured Glomus. RNAcentral describes it as "SSU rRNA". It matches the Rfam family "Eukaryotic small subunit ribosomal RNA", at positions 569 to 1076 of the family's 1831-position model. The record is from RNAcentral. Lineage: Eukaryota; Fungi; Glomeromycota; Glomeromycetes; Glomerales; Glomeraceae.